This 76-nucleotide transfer RNA is filed under the name Candidatus Omnitrophota bacterium. RNAcentral describes it as "tRNA-Ile". It matches the Rfam family "tRNA". From Rfam's summary of the family: Transfer RNA (tRNA) molecules are approximately 80 nucleotides in length. Their secondary structure includes four short double-helical elements and three loops (D, anti-codon, and T loops). Further hydrogen bonds mediate the characteristic L-shaped molecular structure. tRNAs have two regions of fundamental functional importance: the anti-codon, which is responsible for specific mRNA codon recognition, and the 3' end, to which the tRNAs corresponding amino acid is attached (by aminoacyl-tRNA synthetases). tRNAs cope with the degeneracy of the genetic code in two manners: having more than one tRNA (with a specific anti-codon) for a particular amino acid; and 'wobble' base-pairing, i.e. permitting non-standard base-pairing at the 3rd anti-codon position. The record is from RNAcentral. Lineage: Bacteria; Pseudomonadati; Candidatus Omnitrophota.
GGGCCCGUAGCUCAGUCGGUAGAGCAGGAGACUCAUAAUCUCUUGGUCCAAGGUUCGAGUCCUUGCGGGCCCACCA